AAUAUUGGGCAAUGGACGCAAGUCUGACCCAGCCACGCCGCGUGAAGGAUGAAGGCGUUCUGCGUUGUAAACUUCUUUUACUAGUGAAGAAAGUGCGUCUUUUUAGAUGUUUUGACGGUAACUAGUGAAUAAGCACCGGCUAACUCCGUGCCAGCAGCCGCGGUAAUACGGAGGGUGCAAGCGUUAUCCGGAUUUACUGGGUUUAAAGGGUACGUAGGCGGACUUUUAAGUCAGAUGUGAAAGGCCACGGCUUAACCGUGGAACUGCAUUUGAAACUGGAGGGCUUGAGUGUCGGAGAGGGUAGUGGAAUUCCCAGUGUAGCGGUGAAAUGCGUAUAUAUCGGGAGGAACACCAGUGGCGAAGGCGACUACCUGGACGAUAACUGACGCUGAGGCACGAAAGCUAGGGGAGCAAAC
This 416-nucleotide ribosomal RNA is filed under the name uncultured bacterium. RNAcentral describes it as "partial 16S ribosomal RNA". It matches the Rfam family "Bacterial small subunit ribosomal RNA", at positions 360 to 773 of the family's 1533-position model. The record is from RNAcentral.